This is a long non-coding RNA of Alosa sapidissima (American shad), 893 nucleotides long. RefSeq lists it as uncharacterized. NCBI's taxonomy places the organism in Eukaryota, Metazoa, Chordata, Actinopteri, Clupeiformes, Clupeidae. The record is from RefSeq and is a predicted model, not a curated record. The transcript has 4 exons.
AUGAAAACAAAUCAUCAGAUGUCUUAUUGGUCUUCCUGCGAUUUCUGGACACACCGGGACUGAUAGAACAGGAUUUCAGACUUUCGUUUGGUGAGACAACGGCCAACAAAUCCUUGGAGAGGUGGCCAACCACUUUCAAAGCAAAAGUAAUAAAGGAGAGCCAUGGACUUGUACCCACCACAGAACUCUUGGACUUGAUGCACAAUGCUGAGUCAGCUGCUCAAGUUGAGAAUGGCUGGGACAGUGACAUGUCUGCCAUCUUGCUGCUGCUACAUCUGCUACCACCAUCUGCACAAGGUCGAAAGAGGUCGGGAAAGAUGUCUGCAUCUCAAGCUAUAGAUCAGCUCAUCAGAUUUCAAAAGGUUGGAACCAGUGUGCAUCAGCAUCUAGACAACAUCACCCAAAGUACUCAGCCCUACCUUCUCGCCCAGGGAUCCACACAAAGCAGCAUUCACCCCUACUUCAUUGAGAUUGACAAGCAUGCGCUUCCAUGCAAGGCAACAGGUUCAGUGGGAGCUUUUGACGAACUCUUUAAAGUCCAUUACGUCUUUGGUAUGUUGUACAGUUUUUCCUUGAGCAGCUUUUUCACUUUUGUGCAAACAACUAUAACAUCGAUCUGGGGGAAACAAAGGAGACUCCAAGAGUUGCGAGAAAGAAUUGUGCAUUAGUUGAGAUGUGUUUUCUUUGCAAGUACAAAAAACUCUUUGCGAAAGUGAUAAAGGAAGUCCUUGUCUUUUCUUUGGUAAGCAUUUAUUUUUAAAUGUUAUAUUAUUUUUGUAAUAUAAUAAUAUUUUGUAACAAUAAAUGCUGGUGCUGUCAUUUUGUGUUAUUGUUUUUCUCUUUUCAUUAGUUCCAUUAUUGUAAUUCAGUAACACUGCAUCAGAAGAUUUACA